UCGGAUCGCAGUCUGCAACUCGACUGCGUGAAGGUGGAGUCGCUAGUAAUCGCGGAUCAGCAACGCCGCGGUGAAUGCGUUCCCGGGCCUUGUACACACCGCCCGUCAAGUCAUGAAAGUGGGCAGCACCCGAAGACGGUGGCCUAACCCUUGUGGGGGGAGCCGUCUAAGGUGAGGCUCGUGAUUGGGACUAAGUCGUAACAAGGUACC
RNAcentral lists this ribosomal RNA (210 nucleotides) under uncultured bacterium. RNAcentral describes it as "partial 16S ribosomal RNA". It matches the Rfam family "Bacterial small subunit ribosomal RNA", at positions 1293 to 1500 of the family's 1533-position model. The record is from RNAcentral.